Long non-coding RNA from Sander lucioperca (pikeperch), 396 nucleotides. RefSeq lists it as uncharacterized. NCBI's taxonomy places the organism in Eukaryota, Metazoa, Chordata, Actinopteri, Perciformes, Percidae. The transcript is spliced from 3 exons. The record is from RefSeq and is a predicted model, not a curated record.
AAAACCGCACAUUGCUACUGCAUGCUAACAUGACGGUCAUCUGCUUUGGAGGCUCUUUGAAGCGGCUGUCAAUCACAGAGCUGUUUGUUCUUCUUGACAGAAAGUUUAAACGUCUAACAGCAGAUCCUGCUGCUGAUCAGCUAUGUGAGCGAUGAAGAGGAAGUUAAGGAGCAGCACUAACUGUUGAGUCCUGCUCUUCCCCUCAGACAACCAGACAAUCACAAGUCCCAGCCUUGUAGGCGCGAUGGCGUCCCCCUUUUUCCUCGCCCUAACGGGAUUAGUCGUGCCAGUGCUACCCCGGCUGUCACGGUACUGUCUACUUCCCAUCUCUCUUCUGGGCCUCUAAUGUGAUUAACCCAUUCCCUGUGGUCCAAAUGGUUCUGGAGGGUGGGUAGA